RNAcentral lists this signal recognition particle RNA (297 nucleotides) under Cebus imitator (Panamanian white-faced capuchin). Its description in RNAcentral is "Metazoan signal recognition particle RNA (ENSCCAG00000009492.1)". It matches the Rfam family "Metazoan signal recognition particle RNA". Rfam says of the family: The signal recognition particle (SRP) is a universally conserved ribonucleoprotein. It is involved in the co-translational targeting of proteins to membranes. The eukaryotic SRP consists of a 300-nucleotide 7S RNA and six proteins: SRPs 72, 68, 54, 19, 14, and 9. Lineage: Eukaryota; Metazoa; Chordata; Mammalia; Primates; Cebidae. The record is from RNAcentral.
GCCAGGCACAGUGGUGUGUGCCUGUAGUCCCAGCUACUUGGGAGGCUGAGGCUAGACGAUUGCUUGAGCCCAGGAGUUCUGAGCUGUAGUGCGAUAUGCCGAUCGGGUGUCCGCACUUAAAUUCGGCAUUAAUAUGGUGACCUCCCAGGAGCAGGGGACCAGCAGGUUGCCUAAGGAGGGGUCAACUGGCCCAGGUCAGAAACGGAGGUCAAAACUCCUGUGCUGAUCAGUAGUGAGAUCGCGCCUGUGAGUAGCCACUGCACUCCAGCCUGGGCAACAUAGGGAGACCCUGUCUCU